GCAGACACAUUCCAGCCAAUCAGCAGCAGACCCUCCCUCCCAGGCCCUCCCACCUCCUUGACAACAUCCAUUUUGAAGCUGCAUUCUUAGUGAGCUGUCCAGGAGGUGGGAGGGUCUGGGAGGGAGGGUCUGCUGCUGAUUGGCUGGAAUGUGUCUG
Molecule: microRNA precursor, 157 nt
Filed under: Pelobates cultripes (western spadefoot toad)
Lineage: Eukaryota; Metazoa; Chordata; Amphibia; Anura; Pelobatidae
Source: RNAcentral